This 2618-nucleotide long non-coding RNA is filed under the name Calidris pugnax (ruff). RNAcentral's name for it is "lncRNA (ENSCPUG00000014473.1)". The record is from RNAcentral. Lineage: Eukaryota; Metazoa; Chordata; Aves; Charadriiformes; Scolopacidae.
GUGUAUUCGAGGAUUAACGAAUGAGAAGGAAUAAAGUGAAGGAUAUCUCAGUGCAGUGCAUCAUCCAUUUCCAGGGGGAACAGAAGCCAUCUGACUUGACCCCAUGGAGUACUUGCCAAGGAAGCUUGUAUUAGUUCUAUUAUUGACUCUUCCAACAUAUUUUUUAAUUGGAAAGUGGCCUAGAGGUGAAGAUCCUGUUGCCAUCAGCAUCGAACCGUCGGUUGUCCUUGUUGGAGAUCAAGUGACUCUGUCCUGCCAGGUGGCAGACAGUGUCCCCUAUAACACGAGUGUGCUCUGGUACAAAAUGGAAAAGGGGAGGGGUGCUCCACUGUGCUCUUCCUCCAGCCUGGGUGGGGUGGUGGAGCAGUGCCAGGAUGAAGAAGAGCAGAGGAUGACGGGACACUGGCAGGGAAGAGCACUUCUUCUGGUUAUCCGGCAAGUGCGAAUCGCCGACGAGGGGACGUACGUUUGUGCACUGAACGGCAGUGUUGUCACACACGAGGCUACUACUCACCUUGAUGUUACAGCAAUUGGGUAUAAGCCAACAUUGGACAGGGAUCUGCAAGAGGAGAGAAUGUGUCGCUACACGUGUAAGUCAAAGAAAUGGUACCCAAAGCCUGAAGUCUUUUGGAUGAGCUAUGGAGGAGACACAGUAAAUGUGGAGGCUGAGACCCAUGUAACCUGGAGUGAGAGAGACCAUUUCACAGUGCAGAGCAGCAUCACAGUGCCUUGUGAUAACGUAGAUGUGGUGUGUGUAGUCAAACUCCUCAAAUCCAAGAUAAGCCGAUCAGGUGCCAUGAAUGAAAUUAUUGUGCCACAGCCAACCACUUGUACGUACAAGGGCAGAAUAAGUGGUUCCUCUGUAAAGCCCAAAGUGAUGUGGGUUAAUCCCCAAGGAGAAGAUCUAUCUUCACUGGCCCACACAAGCAUUCUGCAGGAGACGGAUGGUAUUUUUACAAUAGAAAGCUCCAUUGAGAUACCCUGUGGACAACCGCCACCUUCUUUUGUGCCCACUGAGAGGGAACAGGGUCCAUGGAUAGCUCAACAGCCAGAAAACGGAAACAUGAUUUGGAUUAUCAGCUCCUUUGUUUCCAUUAUUUUACUAGCACUCCUUCUGAGGCAGAUUGGAAAGCAGAAGGAGAUUGAGGAACUGCGCGCAACGAACGCACAGCUCCAGAGGCAGAUUGAGGAGCUCCCGUCACAAGACAGGAGUGGUGCAGAGAAGGAGAACCUGAAGAAGGAGAUAAGUGAGUGUCGCUUUUCCCCUGGAGGUCGUGUGAGCCAGCUAAUUGUGAGGUUUGGGGGUCUUCAUAGUGUGUUGCUUGUGGGUUCUGCCUUCUUGAGGUUUUGGUGCCAGCAGGAAUGUGAGGGAAAGGUAUGUAGAGGUAAGGCUGAGAUGGGGCUGAAGGGGCUGCAGAACCUCAGCUAUCAACCAGCCCAGGGACAUUGUGGGAAAAUGGGUGAUGACGGGGUAUUGAAGAGAUCCCUGCCAGAGUCAGAAGCUUGUGAGAUGCAGCUCCAAGGAGCGUUAGUCGGCCACCAGGCCAGAUUUUUUGUGGCUUCCUUGGGUAGAAUGUCCCCUAGUGGACUGCUUUGUAUGUUAUGGUUCUUGCCCUGACUUGGCUUUCUUGCCCUUUUUCUCUUGCUGCCCACGGGGACUUGGCAGAAAAACUGCGUGAAAAGGAAGGUGAGUCCCUCUGGUUGCCUGUGUGCUUUCAUGUUUAUUGUUGUUGAAAGUUGUCUAUACUUUUGCCUCCACGUUCCUUGGAAAUAUGUCACCUCAAUUCUUCAGGAAGCUGUUUCCAUUAGGAAGCCAAACCCAAUCCAUGGGAAUAACUCACAGUAGCUCAAAUGAUCCUCUUUUACAUGCUGUGUUCUUUCCAUGUCCUUUGAUACAUCCAGCUUUAUUGACCUGCCCAUACUUUUCUGCCUGCUGCCCUCUGCUGUUCAAAAGAUUACCUCUUAUCACUUGUGACUCCGGCUUUCUAGUUGGAAAAGUUCUUCCUUGUAUGCAGGGGAAGAACAAGAGCCCAUUUAGAAAUGACAGUCAAUGUCUCGUAGAUCUCACUGCAUGGAAACCUGUGGUGAUUUCAGAAACAGCAGGCAAAAAGAUGGCAUUUCAGGAGAUGGCUGAUCCAGAACCAUCCUCUAGUGCUACCAAGUACUGAUGUCUAAUCCACAGUAACCUUUUCUUUCUGUGUGUUUCUCUUGUUUGCAGUGGAUCAGAUGGAAGAAAUUGGUAAGUCGUUAUUGCUUAGUGAAGGGGGAAGACUGAAGAGAGGAAGAGGGUUCUUGUUUUAAAGGGCAAUUAAUUUAGAGCUUGUAAACUCCUGGGGAUUUGAAACGUUCCCUUUAUGCAGUUCCAAGUGCAUAUCUCACACCUGUAUGUUCACGGGCUCAGCUAUUUGUCCAAAACUCAAUGUUUUUCACAUACAGAUGCCUGCCUUUGAGCUAAUCCCUUAAAUUCACAUCUCAGAACUGCACAAUCCUACUGGGACCCCUGCUGAGUUGUCUUUUCAUGUUUCACACGUAAAAACACAAGUUCACCUGAUUCUGCCCUGGAAAACAGUUAAUAUUUACUUGUCUGUUUUGACUUCUCAGCAGCUUAGUUUGGAUAG